Molecule: ribosomal RNA, 257 nt
Filed under: uncultured Leptotrichia sp.
Lineage: Bacteria; Fusobacteriati; Fusobacteriota; Fusobacteriia; Fusobacteriales; Leptotrichiaceae
Description: partial 16S ribosomal RNA
Rfam family: Bacterial small subunit ribosomal RNA
Source: RNAcentral
GGCGGACGGGUGAGUAACGCGUAAGAACUUGCCCUUUAGACUGGGAUAACAGAGGGAAACUUCUGAUAAUACUGGAUAAGUUAGUAUAUCGCAUGAUAUGCAAAUGAAAGCUACGGCACUAAAGGAGAGCUUUGCGUCCUAUUAGCUAGUUGGUAAGGUAAGAGCUUACCAAGGCGAUGAUAGGUAGCCGACCUGAGAGGGUGGACGGCCACAAGGGGACUGAGAUACGGCCCUUACUCCUACGGGAGGCAGCAGCC